Molecule: non-coding RNA, 29 nt
Filed under: Mus musculus (house mouse)
Lineage: Eukaryota; Metazoa; Chordata; Mammalia; Rodentia; Muridae
Source: RNAcentral
UGAUCAUGUCUGCUCCAAGUGAAAGGUUC